RNAcentral lists this ribosomal RNA (460 nucleotides) under uncultured bacterium. Its description in RNAcentral is "partial 16S ribosomal RNA". It matches the Rfam family "Bacterial small subunit ribosomal RNA", at positions 338 to 795 of the family's 1533-position model. The record is from RNAcentral.
CCUACGGGUGGCAGCAGUGAGGAAUAUUGGUCAAUGGGCGUAAGCCUGAACCAGCCAAGCCGCGUGAGGGAUGAAGGUUCUCUGGAUCGUAAACCUCUUUUAUAAGGGAGUAAAGUGCGGGAUGUGUCCCGUUUUGUCUGUGCCUUAUGAAUAAGGAUCGGCUAACUCCGUGCCAGCCGCCGCGGUAAUACGGAGGUUUCGAGCGUUAUCCGGAUUUUGUGGGUUUAAAGGGUGCGUAGGCGGGCUUUUAAGUCAGCGGUGAAAGUCUGUGGCUCAACCAUAGAAUUGCAGUUGAAACUGGGAGGCUUGAGUAUGUGAGAGGCAGGCGGAAUGCGUGGUGUAGCGGUGAAAUGCUUAGAUAGCACGCAGAACACCAAUUGCGAAGGCAGCCUGCCAGGCCAUGACUGACGCUGAUGCACGAAAGCGUGGGGAUCAAACAGGAUUAGAUACCCCGGUAGUC